CCUACGGGUGGCAGCAGUGAGGAAUAUUGGUCAAUGGCCGUAAGGCUGAACCAGCCAAGUCGCGUGAAGGAAGAAGGACCUAUGGUUUGUAAACUUCUUUUAUAGGGGAAUAAAGGUCUCCACGUGUGGAUUUUUGCAUGUACCCUAUGAAUAAGCAUCGGCUAACUCCGUUCCAUCAGCCGCGGUAAUACGGAGGAUGCGAGCGUUAUCCGGAUUUAUUGGGUUUAAAGGGUGCGUAGGUUGUUAUAUAAGUCAGCGGUGAAAGUUUGUGGCUCAACCCUAGAAUUGCCGUUGAUACUGGGUGACUUGAGUGUGGUAGAGGUAGGCGGAAUGCGUGGUGUAGCGGUGAAAUGCAUAGAUAUCACGCAGAAUUCCGAUUGCGAAGGCAGCUUACUAAGCCAUAACUGACGCUGAUGCACGAAAGCGUGGGGAUCAAACAGGAUUAGAUACCCCUGUAGUC
RNAcentral lists this ribosomal RNA (460 nucleotides) under uncultured bacterium. RNAcentral describes it as "partial 16S ribosomal RNA". It matches the Rfam family "Bacterial small subunit ribosomal RNA", at positions 338 to 795 of the family's 1533-position model. The record is from RNAcentral.